Chiroxiphia lanceolata (lance-tailed manakin) is the source of this 283-nucleotide long non-coding RNA. RefSeq lists it as uncharacterized. The transcript is spliced from 3 exons. The record is from RefSeq and is a predicted model, not a curated record. NCBI's taxonomy places the organism in Eukaryota, Metazoa, Chordata, Aves, Passeriformes, Pipridae.
GAACACUUCACUGGAGUCUCUCCACGGGAAGAAGCUCCCAUGGUAAAUGCACUAUUUCCUGCUGCUGUCAGGCUGUUCAUGUUGGCUAAAACACAUGGAAGAAAUCCUGAUAGACUGAAGAAAAUGAGGAUGGAUUCAGUGAGAUAAAUGGAAAAGCACUGCAUGGACUUCUCUUUGGAUAAAACAAGUUGUCACAUCAGCUUUGAUGAAGUGGCCUAUGCUGUUGCCUUCCCUUCCUCUGAAAACUCAAGCAUCCCACAGCAGAAUUUGUUAUUUCCAAGUC